Molecule: ribosomal RNA, 452 nt
Filed under: uncultured organism
Description: bacterial SSU rRNA
Rfam family: Bacterial small subunit ribosomal RNA
Source: RNAcentral
GUGCAGCAGGCGCGAAUUUUUCACAAUGGGGGCAACCCUGAUGGAGCGACGCCGCGUGGAGGAUGAAGGCUUUCGGUUGUAAACUCCUGUCAUUUGAGAACAAGUGUAGCCAACUAACUAUUGGCUACUUGAUAGUAUCAGAAGAGGAAGGGACGGCUAACUCUGUGCCAGCAGCCGCGGUAAUACAGAGGUCCCAAGCGUUGUUCGGAUUCAUUGGGCGUAAAGGGUGCGUAGGUGGCGCCGUAAGUGGGGUGUGAAAUUUCGGAGCUUAACUCCGAAACUGCAUUCCAUACUGCGGUGCUUGAGGACUGGAGAGGAGACUGGAAUUCAUGGUGUAGCAGUGAAAUGCGUAGAGAUCAUGAGGAAGACCAGUGGCGAAGGCGGGUCUCUGGACAGUUCCUGACACUGAGGCACGAAGGCUAGGGAGCGAACGGGAUUAGAUACCCUGUAGU